Loxodonta africana (African savanna elephant) is the source of this 107-nucleotide small nuclear RNA. The record is from Ensembl. Lineage: Eukaryota; Metazoa; Chordata; Mammalia; Proboscidea; Elephantidae.
CUGCUCGCAUCAGCAGCACAUAUGCUAAAAUUGGAAUGAUACAGAGAAGGUUAGCAUGGCCUCUGAGCAAGGAUGAUAUGCAAAUUCAUGAAGAAUUCCACAUUAGA